GGGUGAGUAACGCGUGAGGAACCUGCCUUGAAGAGGGGGACAACAGUUGGAAACGACUGCUAAUACCGCAUGACGCAUAGAGGUCGCAUGAUCUUUAUGCCAAAGAUUUAUCGCUUCAAGAUGGCCUCGCGUCUGAUUAGCUGGUUGGCGGGGUAACGGCCCACCAAGGCGACGAUCAGUAGCCGGACUGAGAGGUUGAACGGCCACAUUGGGACUGAGAUACGGCCCAGACUCCUACGGGAGGCAGCAGUGGGGAAUAUUGGGCAAUGGGCGCAAGCCUGACCCAGCAACGCCGCGUGAAGGAAGAAGGCUUUCGGGUUGUAAACUUCUUUUAAGAGGGAAGAGCAGAAGACGGUACCUCUAGAAUAAGCCACGGCUAACUACGUGCCAGCAGCCGCGGUAAUACGUAGGUGGCAAGCGUUGUCCGGAUUUACUGGGUGUAAAGGGCGUGCAGCCGGGUCUGCAAGUCAGAUGUGAAAUCCAUGGGCUCAACCCAUGAACUGCAUUUGAAACUGUGGAUCUUGAGUGUCGGAGGGGCAAUCGGAAUUCCUAGUGUAGCGGUGAAAUGCGUAGAUAUUAGGAGGAACACCAGUGGCGAAGGCGGAUUGCUGGACGAUAACUGACGGUGAGGCGCGAAAGUGUGGGGAGCAAACAGGAUUAGAUACCCUGGUAGUCCACACUGUAAACGAUGAAUACUAGGUGUGCGGGGACU
Molecule: ribosomal RNA, 712 nt
Filed under: uncultured bacterium
Lineage: Bacteria
Description: bacterial SSU rRNA
Rfam family: Bacterial small subunit ribosomal RNA
Source: RNAcentral